This 62-nucleotide transfer RNA is filed under the name Ornithodoros costalis. RNAcentral's name for it is "tRNA-Val". Lineage: Eukaryota; Metazoa; Arthropoda; Arachnida; Ixodida; Argasidae. The record is from RNAcentral.
UAAGGGUGUAAUCAAUUAUGAUAUUUCAUUUACAAUGAAAAAGAGUUUAUAACCAUUCUUAA